This 21-nucleotide microRNA is filed under the name Mus musculus (house mouse). RNAcentral's name for it is "mmu-miR-692". Its record names the gene mmu-miR-692. Lineage: Eukaryota; Metazoa; Chordata; Mammalia; Rodentia; Muridae. The record is from miRBase by way of RNAcentral.
AUCUCUUUGAGCGCCUCACUC